Molecule: long non-coding RNA, 261 nt
Filed under: Manihot esculenta (cassava)
Lineage: Eukaryota; Viridiplantae; Streptophyta; Magnoliopsida; Malpighiales; Euphorbiaceae
Description: long non-coding RNA (MESC_LNC001550)
Source: RNAcentral
UUCGGCCGCCGAACAUGGAAAGGUUUCGGGAGUGCCUUUGGCCUCCGAAAGCCUUGUUUGAAUGAACCAAGGUUCGGCCGCCGAACCUCAAGUUCGGCCGCCGAACAUGCAUGAGUUUAGGGGGCACGUUAGGCUGCCGAAGGUGGUUCAACAGGCCACCUAUAAAGAGCCCUCAGAUCGGAAAUGGGCGAGUUUUCUCCCCAUUCUCGAGCUCAGGUGAGUUUAGGUCCUCCUUUGGUCGUUUUCAUGUUUUUCUCUACC